GCGCAGCAGGCGAGAAUCCUCCGCAAUGCGGGAAACCGUGACGGGGUCACCCCGAGUGCCACCCGAAUGAGGGUGGCUUUUCCCCGGUCUAAAAAGCCGGGGGCAAUAAGCGGGGGGCAAGUCUGGUGUCAGCCGCCGCGGUAAUACCAGCCCCGCGAGUGGUCGGGACGUUUAUUGGGCCUAAAGCGUCCGUAGCCGGCUCGGUAAGUCCCUCCUUAAAUCCACGGGCUCAACCCGUGGGCUGGGAGGGAUACUGCCGGGCUAGGGGGCGGGAGAGGCCGAGGGUACUCCCGGGGUAGGGGCGAAAUCCGUUAAUCCCGGGAGGACCACCAGUGGCGAAGGCGCUCGGCUGGAACGCGCCCGACGGUGAGGGACGAAAGCUGGGGGAGCAAAGGGGAUUAGAUACCCGUGUAGU
This 415-nucleotide ribosomal RNA is filed under the name uncultured microorganism. RNAcentral's name for it is "bacterial SSU rRNA". It matches the Rfam family "Archaeal small subunit ribosomal RNA", at positions 330 to 745 of the family's 1478-position model. The record is from RNAcentral.